RNAcentral lists this Y RNA (97 nucleotides) under Microcebus murinus (gray mouse lemur). RNAcentral's name for it is "Y RNA (ENSMICG00000046791.1)". It matches the Rfam family "Y RNA". From Rfam's summary of the family: Y RNAs are components of the Ro ribonucleoprotein particle (Ro RNP), in association with Ro60 and La proteins. The Y RNAs and Ro60 and La proteins are well conserved, but the function of the Ro RNP is not known. The record is from Rfam by way of RNAcentral. Lineage: Eukaryota; Metazoa; Chordata; Mammalia; Primates; Cheirogaleidae.
GGUUGGUCUGAUGGCAGUGAGUUAUCAGAACUUAUUAACAUUUAAUAUCAUUAAAGUUGGUAUACAACACCCUACUGCUAAAUUUGACUGGCUUAAA